This 240-nucleotide long non-coding RNA is filed under the name Elaeis guineensis (African oil palm). Its description in RNAcentral is "long non-coding RNA (EGUI_LNC060747)". Lineage: Eukaryota; Viridiplantae; Streptophyta; Magnoliopsida; Arecales; Arecaceae. The record is from RNAcentral.
CUCUGAAGCUUGUUGCUCUUGGAGGCAAGCAUGUUGCAUUUGACAGUCACACUGUCAUCUUUUCACAUCUUGUAUGUGGUCCUUUCCUCCUCGGAAGCAUCUUUCCCAAUGGAAUCUGGUGCAGGUGUGUCUAGAAUGUAGGAGGCUUUCUUCUGAGUGAGAAUAAUUUUCAAGUUUCUUAACUAGUCUACGUAGUUAGGUCCAGUCAAUUUGUUUGCAUCUAGGAUGCCUCUAAGUGAC